CAAACAGCAACCCUGCUGACAGGGGCAGGAGGAGGCAGAGCAAAGUCAUGCAGCUUUGUGAAGUCUCGAAGUGCUUUGCCUCAUCCUGGUUGGUGUCUCUCCAGGUGACAUUUCUUGUGUUUGAGGCACUGGAGGUUAUGGGAAGAGAAACUCAGUGAGGCUCCUGAAGGAUCGGCAUGACCAUGAAAUGCCCUCAAGUCACUCACUGGGAACUGGAACUCUCCUAGAAUUCCAUGAGAGAACUAUGCACCUUACCAUCAAUGAUAUUUUCUUCCUAAGUACUGAAGAUUGAACCCAGGAGCACUUUAUCACUGAGAUACAACUCCAGAGACAGAAUCUGCUGAGUUGGCCUCAAACUUGUGAUCUUCCUACCCCAGGCUCCUGAACUGCUGGGAUUAUAGGCGAGCUCCACUACACCUGGGUCUUGCUAAGUUGCUGAGGCUGGCCUUGAACUUGUGAUCCUCCUGCCUCAGCUUCCUGACUUGCUGGGAUUACAGCUGCGGGCAGAAAGGCGUGUAUUCGAUGUUUCUGUUUAUUUAUUAUCUCCUUCCAGAGGCAUUUUUUAAAAUAAAAAGAAAAAAAAUAAACAAGAAACAUUUUCCAUGAAAAUGUAUCCUCUUGACUACUCUGCUCCUUCUCCACUUCAGAACAGGAACCACACAGAGAAUUAAACAAAGUUCCCUCCCUGCCUCAAGGUUAAUAAAAGA
Molecule: long non-coding RNA, 707 nt
Organism: Marmota monax (woodchuck)
Lineage: Eukaryota; Metazoa; Chordata; Mammalia; Rodentia; Sciuridae
Exons: 5
Source: RefSeq, a predicted model, not a curated record